Molecule: small nucleolar RNA, 227 nt
Organism: Esox lucius (northern pike)
Lineage: Eukaryota; Metazoa; Chordata; Actinopteri; Esociformes; Esocidae
Gene: SNORA53
Product: small nucleolar RNA SNORA53
Source: Ensembl
AACACGCUCCUUAGAUCCACCUCUGGGGGGUGCUCCUGGUCUGUUGAGUUGGAUCUAAGUGUUGAUGCAGCUCCAGGCCGGACGCCCCCAGCAGCUUUCUGGCUGUACAGUUGGAGGUGCAUGAGUCAUUGGCGUGUGAGAACAGUCUACCUGCCCCCCAGCCCAAUCCCUGCACUGGCACCUUCACUGGAACUCUUCCAGUGCAGACCGGCUGGGGGGCGGACAUU